RNAcentral lists this ribosomal RNA (303 nucleotides) under Klebsiella pneumoniae. Its description in RNAcentral is "bacterial LSU rRNA". It matches the Rfam family "Bacterial large subunit ribosomal RNA", at positions 1528 to 1813 of the family's 2925-position model. Lineage: Bacteria; Pseudomonadati; Pseudomonadota; Gammaproteobacteria; Enterobacterales; Enterobacteriaceae. The record is from RNAcentral.
UUGUCCAGGCAAAUCCGGAUAAUCAAGGCUGAGGUGUGAUGACGAGGCACUACGGUGCUGAAGUAACAAAUGCCCUGCUUCCAGGAAAAGCCUCUAAGCAUCAGGUAACAUCAAAUCGUACCCCAAACCGACACAGGUGGUCAGGUAGAGAAUACCAAGGCGCUUGAGAGAACUCGGGUGAAGGAACUAGGCAAAAUGGUGCCGUAACUUCGGGAGAAGGCACGCUGGUGUGUAGGUGAAGUCCCUGCGGAUGGAGCUGAGACCAGUCGAAGAUACCAGCUGGCUGCAACUGUUUAUUAAAAA